Molecule: long non-coding RNA, 10790 nt
Organism: Peromyscus eremicus (cactus mouse)
Lineage: Eukaryota; Metazoa; Chordata; Mammalia; Rodentia; Cricetidae
Exons: 7
Source: RefSeq, a predicted model, not a curated record
UGAUGAAUGGUAAACUUUGCAUCAUGGAUAGUCAUGCAUUUUCCCACGAGUGAAUCUAUGAAAAUUCUGUGAGAAUUUGAGGUUCAAUGGCAUGAUGGUGACUCCACCCACUUCCAACAACUUACUAUGGAAAACUUGAAGUAGGAUUGGUGAGAUGGCCAGCAGAUCUCAGCUGCAGAUGCCUUGUUGUGGCUCUGGUGUCUGCCAUUCUUCACUUCCUAGCAGCUUCUGGAGCUUUUGAAACCAUUCAGACUGCCUACUUUGCCUGUGUCUCAGGGUGCAGGAGCAGCAGAGAUCUGUUCUGCAGCUGAGGGAGUGUCUGGAUUGAUGUGUGAUUCCCAGAGAAGUCUCCCUUUGCACCACUGAAAAAGAGUCAAGGAAGAAGUCAGUCCCUGGCUUGGAGCUGGAGGCAAGGCCAGGAAUUCUGAAGGACUGUGAAUCAGGGCAGUUAAUGACCUGUCCCCAUCAACAGGUGAUAUCUUCAUCCGGGUAUCCUGGGUUCAGGCAUUUCAGAAGUCAGGACUCUGCAGCAGACAGAGUGUCUGGCCGGAAGAUAUCUAUCCAAGGGCCCUCUCCAUUUCCACCACUGGAAAAGAGUCAAGGAAGGAGUCAGUGCCUGGCAUCACCAUGGCAACCACAAGAACCUACCAGGUGAUGGUAGGGUUGGAGGGAGAAUGAUGUCGUAAACAGGGCAGCAGCCAAUGGGAAGUUGGAUUCUGAGCUAGCAGAUGGAAUUGGUUGGAGAGAAUUCCAGGAAACCAUCAGGAGCCAUGGAGGCAGAGGCAUGGAUCUUGUGGCAAUGACAGGAAUUCUGAAAGUUGUGGAUGGGGGCAAUUAAUGACUUGCCACCAUCAACAGGUGGUGUCCUCAUCUGGUAAUCCAGUUGCAGGAGUACAGAGUUCUGCUCUGCAGCAAACAAAGUAUCUGGCUUGAUGUGUGAUUCCCAGGGAAGUCUCCCUUUGCACCACUGAAAAAGAGUCAAGGAAAAAGUCAGUCCAUGGUAAGUGGGAUGUCCCCUCCUCUCAGUGCACCUCUGCACUUAGGCCCCUACAACAGCUGGGUGACAUUCUUUGGAUCUCUGCUUUAGCUGCAGAUAUUCAGAAACAUCAGUCUGAGUUUAGUUCCAGUUGUAAACACAUUCAGUUAAGUCUCUUGGGAUUAUGAGUAGGUGCCAAAAAUGCACCUUAACUUUAUACAUGGCCUCUUCAUCCAAUCAUGCUGGCAAACUUGGAAGUCCACAUAGACAGAAAGAGACUUGAUUCCAUUUAGUUUGUGCGAGCAUUCCUUUAGUCUCAGCACUCUUGAGGCAGCGCCACGGCCAGGGUCAUGGCCAAGGCAAUUGGAGAGGCAGAAACAGAGUCAUAAGCAGAAGCAGAGAUAUUGGCAGAGGUAGAGGCAGGCUGAUGUUUGUGAGUUCAAGGCUAGUCUGAUCAACAUAGUUAGUUCCUGAACGUGCAGAGUUAUGGAGAGAGAACCUGUCUCAAGAAACUAAAAGCAAAUUAACAAGUCAAUGAGUUAUAUUUCCUAUGUGUCACCCUCUCAAAGAAGUGCCAAGUGCCUCAGAGGCAAUAGUGUGAGUAACCCUGAUAAUAUCAGAGCACAGAGUAUGCGAAAGUGUUGAAUGAUCAGAGAUAAUCCAGGAUGGAGCAACACACCAGCCACUCAAGAAAUCCUGGCUGUAGUUGACAGAUGGUCUCUCAGGGAUGUAAAGCAUUUGUUGCUAGAAAAAAAGAAACAGUUAAUCGAGAGGGGGUCCUAGAGAACAGGAGGACAUCUUUGCUAUUGCUACCCCUGUGAGAAGAUUAAUAUUUAGAUUAUUUAGAAUUAGAUACAUAAAUCUUAAGAAGGACAGCAACCCAGGUAGUAAAGUGCAAAGAGAAAGACAGUCCUCCCCUAUUUCAUAAAAAGGAGAGCUUGGACAUACAAAGGUUCAGAUGGAGGAGGAAUCAGGGAAAUGCAUAGUGACCCUCCUAGAUGCCAUCCAAGGCCAACUAGAAAAGAAAUGACAGCCACCACUGAGAGAGUUCACAGAAAGGAAUGCUAUACAAUGCUGAAGAUGGAAAGAUUUCCAGCCUGAUUGGAUGUCAGUGUGGAGGAUCCUCCAAAAGCCUAAACCUGGCCCACCACAUGGUUCAUAUAUGCCUUUCCAAAGAACUCAAUAUAUUAGAGAGGUACUUGCCCAUCAGUGUUGACUGCAGCACCGUUUCAAGAAUAUUAGGGAACCAAGCAUGUUGUCCAAGAGCAUUGCCAUAGGUGAAGAAAAUGGGAUGUUCGUAGAACGUGAAGUCUUUUCAGCCAUAGAGAAAAUGAAGUCAUGUUGUUUGCAGUAUAUGGAUUCAACUGAGGCUCAUGAGAUGGCUCAGUAGAUAAGAACACUUGGUUGUCUUGCAGAGUCCCCAGGCUUGCCUCAUGGUGGCUUUCAGUCUCUCUUAAUUCCAGACCUUAGAGGUCUGAUGCCCUCUUCUGGCCUCUGUGGGCACCUCACAUAUGUGUUCCACAGGAAUUCGGGUGGACAACACACAAACACACACACAUACACAAAAUGAAUUAAAGUAUUAAAUGGAUAAUUUCAAAGAUGGAUACAACUUAAGAUAAAAAUAGUAAUCAAAUGAAAUCAAUCUCAGGAAGAUAGUCUACAUAGUUAUUUUCUCUUUAAGUUGGGUGCUUGACAGUGUAUACAUGGAAUCCUGUAUCUCAUCAUGAAAUUCCUGGAGGUGCUCAGUCCCAGACCAAUAGUGAUUAAAGGGCUGGAGUGAGUGUUUCCCAAUGGGAUUAAGUGUGGCAAGAGCAGGUAUAUGUUCACUAUACAGUAUACACUAUAGGAAACAUACCAAACCAGUAGAGUGAAAAAUAAAAGUCAAGGAGAAUAAUUUUAAUUCCACUAAAGAUUUUGGCUAGAUACUUUCAUCUUAAAUAAACACUAUCACUGACUUACAGCAUAUGAUGUAUUUAUGGAAAACAUUUCCACUUUGGGAACAUAAAUUUAAAAAGCUAAGGUAUGAAGAAACCAUCAAAUCACUCUAUAUAUAAUUAUUCACGGGUAAAAUAUAACUGACUUUAGCUUCUCCGGUCACUUUUAGUGUCUUCAAAUACUUAUAAGUAUAGAACCUUGUCUGACCAUUUAUAUAUAAAUCCUGGGAUGUACAUAUUAAUCUCCUUAACUCCAUAUGUACCUACAUAUGUACAUGUACAUCCAAGUCUUUAAAUUCAAUAUGUACUUGUAUAUCUGUGACUAUAUCUAACCUUGUCUAUGUUGAAUAGUACUGUGUUCCAAAGUCAAGGCCAGCUCUUACAUGACAUAGCCAAAAUAUAUAGAAAUUUCCAUAUCCUUCUGCCUCUGAAGGAAGAGCUGUGGUUUUCCCAGAGAGGUGAACUUGGCAGCAUUCUCUCUCUCUGGUUGAGCCUGCCUCUUCAUGGCCUCCCUCUCUGGUCUCUGCUCUUCUGUGAUGGGCUGUGAGAUGACUGGCCCUGGAAUGUCAACUUUCCUCCAUGGAAUUGGUUGGUGGCUGAAGUCUUGCAGCAGAUUUUGGAUUUGAGGUUUGUGAGGUGAUGGGGUCUUGUUCUUGUUAGAAGAGUCAAGCUCCCUCUGUAAUGAAGUGUGAGAUGAUGCCCUGUAGGGUCCAGGCCUAGAGGCAGCUCGCUGAGGCCCAGGGCAAGACUGGAUGGGGUUGGUUAUGUUAGCUUGUGUGGCACUGGUAGCAAUAGGCAGAGCUGGCUUGUCAGAGGCCAUCAAAGAAGUGCUGGCAGGAGCUGGUUUAGAUGGCUUGAGUGUGGUAGGCUGAGCCGAGUGGGAAUGAGGCCUCACAGGGUAUACUGCAGGGGGCCUGCGUGAAGCCAGGGAGAGAGGCUUUCUAGAAACCAGUCUGGCUUGCGGCUUGUCCAGGGCUGGAAAAGGCAGAGGUACUAACUUGACCUUCCCAGGUAGGGGCAGCUCAUACUGGGAUGGAGAUGGACACUCCCUGUGAGCAUUGUUCCCUGGUCUCUGAGCAUUGCCCAGGGUUUUACCAGGGCCUCGGUCAUCACAUGGCACAUCCAGAAGGGAUGAGGUGGCUGGGCCUGUCCUGGGAUCUUUGUUGUUGCUGAGGUUCAGCCGAGCCUGGGAGGAGGAGAUGCCAGUUUUCUUCUCACUCUUCUUCCCCAGUGGGUGAAAGACUUGCACGGAUUCUAGCAUGUGCAUGCCGAGAUGAGUUCGAGGCUUUUUAAAGCUGUCAUGGCAGAGCUCAGGUGGAUUCCUCUUCCUCUGGUUCUUUGGCUUGGUGGUGUUUACUUCUGCUUUGACUCUGUUCCUUGACUAUUUAAGCUCCUCUGUUUUCGUGGAGUUGUUUUUUCUGGUUCUCUUGGUCUUGUCUUGCCCCUCAGCCCUAGCUCUGCUGGGCAUCCUGGGUGUGGCUUUCUGGGCUUUGCCCUCCAUGUGCUUGGGCAUGUUGUCAAUAGCCCCUUCACUGGACCCAGCACUGCCCACAGCCUCUUCUCCCUCCACCAGGUCCUUGAAUGGAUUCUGGCCUGAGAAGUUCGAUCAAGCAUCUCCAAGACUUUCUGGCCAUUCUUUUUCACGUGGUCCAAUUGCACACUGAUGAUGCUUUCCUGACCCUGAUCCCUCAUGAUGUCUUUGGAUUGGGUUGCUGUGGGAUCUUGGAAUUGGUUCAUUCCAGUGAGGGAGUUGAAGAGUAGAGGAAGGUGAAUAUCUGCCACCCAUGUAGUCAUGUCUGCAAAGUCCAUGCUGGAGCCCAUCACAAUCUGCAGCACCCCAGGCUCAUCCUGACCAAUGCUGCUGCUUCCCAAGGUGGCAUUGUCAGGAGAAAGCUUCUGUUUUAGGCUCCCUGAAUCAGUGGAGUUCAGGGCCUGCUGCAUGUUGGCAUGUGCUAAAGGGAGAAGUGAUGGAUCUUGGCUUUCUAUUAUGCCCUCAUAGGCAUCCAGAGGAGUUGACAGAUCAGCUGUCAUCAAAUCCAAGUCAUUAUUCUCUGUUUGUUCCAAGCUCAGAGCAGGAGGCAAGGGCAGGAAUUCCAAAAAACUGUCAAUGGGGGCAGUUAAUAACCAGUCCCCAUGGACAGGUGGUGUCUUCUGGACAUCCUGGGUGCAGGCAUUGCAGAGGUCUGGACUCUGCAGCAGACAGAGUGUCUGGCCUGAAGCUGUCAAUCCCAGGGUUGUCUCCAUUUUCACCACUGAAAAAGAGUCAAGGAAGAAGUCAGUGCCUGGUAAGUGAGGUGCUCCUCACUUUUCAGUGCACCUCAGUACUCAGACGCCCUACAACAGUGGGGAAGGCUUUCCUAUGAGCUCUGCUUGAGUAGCACAGGGAGCACCUCUAUUGGGAGACUUGUGACCACUGUCUUAUUUCUGGUAACCAUGUGAUAUCAUGUUUUCUCAGAUGUUUGUGUUUUCCUCGGUGUUUGUGUGUUGUGUGCAUGUAUAGUGAUCAUAGGGAGGUGACAGAAUUCCCUUGGGGUGUGGUCCUCCCUUGCCUUCCCCAUGUCUCUGUAAGAGUGACCUUGAUUUCCGUCGAAGUUUGCUAUCAGGCAGGUUGUCUGGUCCACAAUUUUCAAGAACUUACCCUUGUCUUCCAAUUCUUGGCAUUACUCAAAUGCCCCCAGUUGCCUGACUUUCUAAAUGGGUUCAGGUAACCAAACCCAGUUCCUCACUCCUGCAAGGCAAUCAUUUCUACAACCAUGUAUUUCCUCCAUCUCCACAUUUCACAGUCUUGUUAUUAAUGAUGUGAAAAUUGGUUUAAGAAGGUGAAAUUUUUAGCUUGUGUUAUGUUUGUAGUUUAGAACAUAUCCUAGUGAUCAUGCUUGGCUCACUUCAGAAUAACCAUAGCAAAGAAAAGGAUAAAGAGAGGGAGAUGGAGAGGAGGAGAGAGAGAGAGAGAGAGAGAGAGAGAGAGAGAGAGAGAGAGGAGAGGAGAGAGAGAGAGAGAGAGAGAGAGAGAGAGAGAGAGAGAGAGAGAGAGAGAGAGAGAAGCUUUGCCCAACUUAGCAGUUUCACACUGGUACACUGUUUAUACUGGACUCUCAAUGCACUUAUGCUUGGAAGAGUACGGCAGGGCCAGCACUUGGAAUCUGUGAGCAAUACUUCUUCUAGGACAGAUUUGGAGUUGCACUGCUCUAGAGUCAGAAUUGAACCCAGAGAAAAUAAAGUGUUCCCAAACAGAAAGGCCUUGGUGUCCUCUACAGCCCCAAGGAAUAGAUUAGGAAGGAGGUGAUUGCCGUGUAACAGUGCAUGGGACUGAUAAGCUAGGUAAUUGAUGUGUGUGUCUGUGGUGGUGUCCUUGGACAUGUCUUAGUGGAGGAUGGGUGCCACUCAUUGUCCUGCAUUGUCAGUCAUUAUAGAGACUGAAGAUGGGGAUGGUGAGCCAGGCCAAGGCUGAGCUCUCAGGACUCCCAUCCUUUCUCCCUGAGGACAUCCACUGCUGAAAGGUCGAGCUGUGUCUGCUUUGUGUGCUGAUCUCAGUCCUCCCCUCCUGGCUUUACUCACCUUGAAGACUGGUGUCUGGCAUGUCUUGAGCAGGUGUGGGAUAGUAGAUGGCAGAGGUGAUGAAGGGUGUUUGGACAUUCAUUGGCUGAAUCUCCUUUGGCAUCAUCACCAUCCCUCGUUGCAGGGCAGAUGCCUGACCCGCAGAGUAGGACACAGAGCAACAGGCCUGUAGGCACUGCCUGAGUUCUCCAGCCAUCAGAGGGCCCAGGCUGUUGACGUCAUUGUAAUAGACCUGGCUGCCCUCCUGGUAGGAAGGUGCCAGGCUGUAUCCUUGAUUUGGCACCUGUGGUGGUGUGGCCUGAACAAGGCUGGCAGAUAGUAUUGGAUACGAGAGGACUAAGGAAUUGGGAUCUAAAAUAUUGUCACCCUGGGCUGUCAUAGACAAGGAGGAGAAUGUGGUAUUCUGGUCAAUGACAGUUACAGUGAAGUCCUGGAGUGCAGCUCCCCUCCUGUCAGUGCUUCCCAUGGGAUCCCACUGGAGAACACCUAAAUAGGAGAGUGCUGAGGCAGAACUCUGGCCCUGGUCAGUCAGCGCAUGGUUGUGCCAACUGGUAAGUAGGGGUAAGCACUGUCCAUGAGCUGCUGGGAACAAGUGCUGGAGUCUGAUGGCAGGAGCCAUGCUGAACUCAGAGCUGGGGUGGAGACCCUGGAGAAGUUGCACACACUUCCUGCUAAGGGCGUGGCAUUCCUCAGCACAGGUGCUGAAGGCUGCAAGGCACAUUCUGUCCCAAAGAAAGGUGCACUUUGGAAAUUUUCUGUAAGAAAGAAGAGGAAAGUGGGAAGAACAGUGAGAUGGAAUCUGUGUGGCUUCCCAUGAGGAGCUUUGUUUUCUGUAGUUUGUCCUGUCUGGGAGAGUGAGACCUAUUUUCCCUCACACAUCCCAAACAAAUGGUUCAGAAUGAUUCUUGGUAACGGAUAGGAUGACACUCAUUUGAUGAGCUGCCUGUUCUUCCUGUGUGGGCAUGCACUUCCUAGUUGAUCUACGUUGACCCUUGCUCUGACUAGACAACACCCUUCUUUGCCCUGCUUUGUGUUGUUCUCAUACCUGCUGUGGCACUCUCUCACACCUGUGUCCCAGAACAGAAGUGUCUAAAGUAGGAGAACCUUAGACAGCUUCUCAUGCCUGUGCCUUUGUCCUGUUCUGUGCAGAGAUUCCUCUAUGCAGAGAGAGAUAUUCUCUACCUAGAUCAAUCUGGCCUUGAAAUCACACAGACUGGUUGCCUCUACAUCAGAGUGCUGAUGUUGUAGGUUCUUUCAUGUCUACCAGGUUUGGCUCUACUCUGAGCUUUCUUAAUGAAAUGAUGUAUCAGGAUUUUUAUAGAUAAAAAACUCUAUUUAGCUAAGAAUCCCUUGGUCAUCUAGCUCCUCCUGUUCCCCACUACUUUUUAUGGAAGUCAUUAUUUCUUACUUUUUUAUAUAAAUUCAGUACACAUCCAAUAUGACUGCAUGAAUACAACCUGCUGAUAACAUUUCAUGUUUAGUCCCUAUGUUUCAAGUGACAUUUUGGGAUUUCUAAUGUCGUGUAGUAUUCAUCUCUGAAUAAGAUUGUUUCUUAAUUAAAUUUGGUUCAAUUGAUUCUUCAAUGAACACUUCUAAAUUAAAAGUUGGUUAAAUUGAUUAUUCAAUGAACACUUCCACAGUAAUUGUUAAUUUCUUGUAACUCUACUAGUAGGGAAUCCUUGUGAGAAUUCCUGCACACACUGGUGUGUCAGUUUUUGUACAGAGAACAACUGACUGUGGAGAACCCCGCCCAUGUUGUUAACAUCCAACACAACCAAAAGAUGUGGAGAAUGCUGUGGAAGAUGGGCUGGAUAGAGUGUAAGAGCCAGGGGCUAGAGCUGGAUAUUGUUUUCUAUAUGUAACAGGAAACCUUUACCUAGACUAAUCUCAGCAGUGUGGCUGCAUAAUAAUGGGUUGGGAUGGGACAAUAUCUUCUGUCUUUUUAUUUAAUCUUUGGUUAUCUGUAACAUCCAGUUCCCAACUGCCUUGUGUACAUCAGGGUCAUCUCUGCAGUUUGUCUUUUUUUAUAUCCAUAUUUUCUUUCCCCAGUAAGAACCAAAUCGAAAUGUGACAUGUAAUACCAGAUAUCUCUAUCAGCAUCAAUAAUAUAACCAUUACACAAAAAUUUAAAAGCAUAGUAAAAAUAAGGGGGAAGUGAUCCCAUAUCUUUUUAAUGUUUUAAAAUUUUUUUCCUUACCCGCCAUGGUCAGAGGGACAGUAUCAGCAAUCCACAGUACAAUGGAGCAAGAGAAUUGGUUGUCCUUGUCUGAUCAGCUGACCUGAGUCGCAAGUGUGUCUGGUAUCAAACAGCACUUACUGGUCACUGGUCACAGGUGACCUGUGAUGAUCCAAAUUUGUUUACAGGCAUUGCCAUGGCAACCCCAAGAACCUACCAGGGUUGGUAGGUUGGCUUGGUGGGAGAAUGAUGUCAUAAACGGGGCAGCAGCCAAUGUGAAGGUCGGGUUCUGAGCUAACAGAUGGGAUUGGUUGGAGAGGAUGCCAGGAGACCAACAGUAGCCAUGGAGGUUGAGGUGUCAGCUAGAGAAGGAAGGCAAUCUUGGCAGAAAAUCCCCCUUUCUGGAGGUUUAUUCCAGGGUAUUGGCAGAACUUCUAAUAACGUUCAUCUAUGAAGCUGUGUCUAUGGUUUCUAUGAGGUGUCACCUUCCAGGAAUGGUCUCCUCCAAACCUCAUUCAAGAGAUUAUUUUCGGGGAAGAAUCUAGAAGCAUGACUGCCUCUGCCAGAAAGAAAAAAGGCAGUUACCAACUGAACAGGUACAGGACUUAUGUAUGGCUUCUUAGUGGGGGAGCUUUUCCAGGGUGAAUCUUUGCAGGGUGAGAAUUGCUCAGAUUUCAAUCUCUGAGUUUGGACAAACCCAGAGAUUGGUUCGAUUUUUUUGGGUAGGUUUUCCUGCUUACUGAUUGUUUGGUUUUUGUGCUGAGUGGGUCAAGGGCAGAGUGUGUUUCUCUGACUCUGGUUUCAGGGCCAAAGUGUGUUUUUUUCACAGGCCCUUUUUACCGUUUUGACUCUAGUUUCAGGGCUAGGGUGUGUUUUUUUGGCUGGCUCAUUUGUUCUACAAAAUUUCUUUAUAUUUGAAAAAAAAAGGGCAACCCAUUUCCCACCUCAGUGUAUCUUCUUAGACAGGAAUAUGAUAUUUUGUUUAAAUAUGGGUAAAUCUUGUGUGUUUCCUCAUUUUGGUUUUGAUUGUUAUGAUUCUCUUUGGUCACUGACUGGUGGGUUCAUAGACUGUCUUAUGGCAUGGGUGUAGUGUGCAUUUAUAGACAUUUCUUACUCUAACUGCCUCAACAAGCACUACUAUGACAGUGUCUGUCAGUCCUCAUUGAAAAUGACCCUGGAGCCUGUUUAUCUCUCCUCCUGCGUUCACAUGAGCUGUCAGCACUGUCCCUUGGGACCUCUUUUACACUGAGCUAGUGCCGUAGCUAGCAGGCACAUGCCCAGCUCAGUAGACCUGUUCCUGCAUGCAGAUUGUUUCAUGUUUUGUGGUUCUUGGCAAAACCCUACAAUAAGACCGUCCUUUUUUAUAAGCCAGCAGGCUGUCUUUGUGUUUUACCCUUGCAGUUUCCUUCAUGACUGACCACUUGUCAGAUAAUGUGACACAUUCCAAGUGGCAAUGAGUGAAAGUUGGAAGGUUCAUCCAGGCUUCUGGUCAUAGACCAUUCUGAAAAACGUGUGUUCUUGUAGCAGCAUAGACCGAAGUUAGUCUGGGCCUGUGUUAUUGAGAAGUCUGAGCAUGGAGCAAAAAUGAGAGAUACAUAGAUAAGAUAGAUAGAUAGAUAGAUAGAUAGAUAGAUAGAUAGAUAGAUAGAAAGAUAAAUAGAUAGAACUGUGUUCUUUGUUUAAUUCCCAUCAUUUCUGUGCUCUUUAUUUUUAAACAUUUGUCCAUUCUAUUUUAUUCAGUGUAGUAAUGAACUUAUUAAUGCUAAAAUCCUAUAGGAAUUUUAGUUUCUAAACCCUCUACUCCUCCUAAUUCUUUUCCAAGUCCCAACUUCUCAGUUACUACUAUCUUUCUGUUGCUCUCUAGAAAAGAAAGGCUUUCAAGAGGUAACAAAUAAAUAUGGUAAAAUAAAAUUUUGGUACAGCGUCUCCAGGCAAAUAAAUGUAAGUUAAAAAAUCUGAAAGAUGGUAUCCUGCAUGGGUGAAAAAAAUGGCAUUCCCUGAAGACAUAUGCCUGCUAAAUGCUAAGUGCCAAGAGGGGGCUUAAGCCUCAGGCGAUGUUGGCCAAGAAGGUCCUUAGGACUUCCCAGAAUAUGAAAACUAUUUCAUUCCUGUUUAAGUUAUGAGCCCAAAGUAGAGUAACGCUGAA